UGCAGUCGAGCGGAUGAGGGGGCUUGCUCCUGGAUUCAGCGGCGGACGGGUGAGUAAUGCCUAGGAAUCUGCCUGGUAGUGGGGGAUAACGUCCGGAAACGGGCGCUAAUACCGCAUACGUCCUGAGGGAGAAAGUGGGGGAUCUUCGGACCUCACGCUAUCAGAUGAGCCUAGGUCGGAUUAGCUAGUUGGUGGGGUAAAGGCCUACCAAGGCGACGAUCCGUAACUGGUCUGAGAGGAUGAUCAGUCACACUGGAACUGAGACACGGUCCAGACUCCUACGGGAGGCAGCAGUGGGGAAUAUUGGACAAUGGGCGAAAGCCUGAUCCAGCCAUGCCGCGUGUGUGAAGAAGGUCUUCGGAUUGUAAAGCACUUUAAGUUGGGAGGAAGGGCAGUAAGUUAAUACCUUGCUGUUUUGACGUUACCAACAGAAUAAGCACCGGCUAACUUCGUGCCAGCAGCCGCGGUAAUACGAAGGGUGCAAGCGUUAAUCGGAAUUACUGGGCGUAAAGCGCGCGUAGGUGGUUCAGCAAGUUGGAUGUGAAAUCCCCGGGCUCAACCUGGGAACUGCAUCCAAAACUACUGAGCUAGAGUACGGUAGAGGGUGGUGGAAUUUCCUGUGUAGCGGUGAAAUGCGUAGAUAUAGGAAGGAACACCAGUGGCGAAGGCGACCACCUGGACUGAUACUGACACUGAGGUGCGAAAGCGUGGGGAGCAAACAGGAUUAGAUACCCUGGUAGUCCACGCCGUAAACGAUGUCGACUAGCCGUUGGGAUCCUUGAGAUCUUAGUGGCGCAGCUAACGCGAUAAGUCGACCGCCUGGGGAGUACGGCCGCAAGGUAAAACUCAAUGAAUUGACGGGGCCCGCACAGCGGUGGAACAUGUGGUUAAUUCGAAGCACGCGAAAACCUACCUGGCUUGACUGCUGAGACUUUCC
Molecule: ribosomal RNA, 937 nt
Filed under: Pseudomonas aeruginosa
Lineage: Bacteria; Pseudomonadati; Pseudomonadota; Gammaproteobacteria; Pseudomonadales; Pseudomonadaceae
Description: bacterial SSU rRNA
Rfam family: Bacterial small subunit ribosomal RNA
Source: RNAcentral